RNAcentral lists this transfer RNA (84 nucleotides) under Echinostoma caproni. It matches the Rfam family "tRNA". From Rfam's summary of the family: Transfer RNA (tRNA) molecules are approximately 80 nucleotides in length. The record is from Rfam by way of RNAcentral. Lineage: Eukaryota; Metazoa; Platyhelminthes; Trematoda; Plagiorchiida; Echinostomatidae.
GGCAUCGUAGCUCACCCGGUAGAGCGUGCGCUGCACAAAAGCGUAGGCAGUGUCUAUGCUUGGGUUCGAAUCCCACCGAGACUA